AAAGUCAGAAACUAUUUUUAAUCAAUUAAAAAUGAAUAAAAAUAACCUAAUUGAACUAAAAUCUCAAAUAAAUCUCAAAUCAAUUAAAAAAUUGAUGAGAAUAUUUUUCAUAGAUCCAUCAUCAUUCAAAUAGGUUAGGAAAAUAUUUUUGUAUUUUUUGAAUAUCAAAAACUAUUUAAAAUGAAUUAAAAAUAACCAGAAAAGAGAAAAA
Molecule: long non-coding RNA, 211 nt
Filed under: Lathyrus oleraceus (garden pea)
Lineage: Eukaryota; Viridiplantae; Streptophyta; Magnoliopsida; Fabales; Fabaceae
Description: Pisum sativum (pea) long non-coding RNA (PSAT_LNC031963)
Source: RNAcentral